UGUAGUUUGCAGUUUGGGCUGCUGGCGAC
This 29-nucleotide non-coding RNA is filed under the name Rattus norvegicus (Norway rat). Lineage: Eukaryota; Metazoa; Chordata; Mammalia; Rodentia; Muridae. The record is from RNAcentral.